Molecule: transfer RNA, 86 nt
Rfam family: tRNA
About the family: Transfer RNA (tRNA) molecules are approximately 80 nucleotides in length. Their secondary structure includes four short double-helical elements and three loops (D, anti-codon, and T loops).
Source: Rfam
GCUGGAAUGGAGUAGUGGUUAACUCGCUGCCCUCCCACUUUAAUCGUAGAGAGGCAGAAACUCGGGUUCGAACCCCGAUUCCAGCA